Long non-coding RNA from Musa acuminata AAA Group (dessert banana), 2614 nucleotides. RefSeq lists it as uncharacterized. The transcript is spliced from 5 exons. Lineage: Eukaryota; Viridiplantae; Streptophyta; Magnoliopsida; Zingiberales; Musaceae. The record is from RefSeq and is a predicted model, not a curated record.
UCCGAAAACACUCCGCUUCACUUCAACGAGCAAUUCCUCAUCCGCUCGAACUCCGCCGAAAACCCUAAUUCCUCACUUGACGAAUCCAAAACCCUAACUCCCCAAUGUCUUCUCUUUCUUUCCCCCUCCCUCUCUCGAGUUCUUUUUCUUGUAAGCAGCCGCUCCGAUUCGAGAUUUCCUCUCGGGUUUUCUUCCAAGUGCGUGGCAAGUGGCCGGAGGCGAGGUGGCACGCGUUGCUUGCACAUCCGAGGAAAUCUUACGUGACUUCGGAAACCGCUUUACCGGCAUGAUCACGGUCCGCUGCCGCUCACGUUCGGUUCUUGUAGUUCCCAUUGUUUUGUGUUGAUAUCGGUUUGCUUACCUUGAUCUUGUUGGUUUCUGAUAUGCUUUGUUCUUUCCUUAUAACGUGUUGGUGGUGUUGCAAUGUCGGGAAGUUCUACCGACGAUGUGAUCCAGGAUUUCUGCCGCUGUUGGUGCUGCGCUGACAAUUAUCCUCUUUGUGAAAUGAGUAAAUUUUUGGAGGCAAAGAUUGUGACGGUAAUUGGCUGAAGUUCUGUUCACUUGAAGACAAGACUGGUGUUUCCUUGAUACUAGUAAUCUGGUUUAUAGCACUUGCAAGACCCAUUGCCAAAAAGUAUCAGUCCCGAGUCCUGACAUGUUUACCUUGCAGCAAUUUGACACUACUGGAGGCGGCUAUAUAAUAUGCUCAGCAAUCUUCCCUAUUAUAUAUCAAGAUCUAAAUGAAAUUGCCAAGAAGCGAUCCAGAGAGAGGAACCCUGUCACCGGCAGAAGUAAUACAUUGAGCUCUAACGCCUGCAUUAGUGCCCCCAGCUACUCCCCCUUUUUUUUUGCUUUAAUUCUUUUAUGUUUAUAACAAUAAUCAACCAUCUCUUGCCUUUGUGCCUCUGAACAGUCAAGAUAUGCAGGCCCUUAGAAGUCAUUAAAGAUGCCUCCUUCCUAAGAGGAUGUUAAUAGCAGGGAAGAUGAUGAGCAAAGAGUAUGCAGAUAUGCAAGCCUGAGGUAUACUCUUAUUUGGAUGUUAGAAGGAAAUGUUAAAGUUCAACAUCUAACACCAAUAAUCUGAAUGGACUUCUGCAAUUGCAUACAAAUCAAGGCAAAAAGAAAGCAGUAACAUCCUGAAGUCUGCAAUGUUACACUCGAUAUCAAGAAUCACAAGGCUCACACGAGGCACGAUGGAAGGAGAUGAUUGGGAGAGAUAUACCAUUCUCUAUAUGAGGUGGCUGGAGACCUGAUGGAGUGAUGAGUCGAAGGAGAUGAGUGUACACCAAAUAGGAAUACUGAAAGUAAGCAGGGGGGAUGAUCCUUUUGGCUAGCUUUCUUCCGGUUGAAUUUAUUGAUUGGGACGAAGAAAGGAAUGGGAAAAGAGGGGCAAACUUCUGAUGAUAUCAGAUAAGUAGGGAUCUUCUCGUCUUCCUGGGGGUUGCGGCUGGGAGGCGGGCGGCAGUGAUGGAGCAGUCGGGAAGCAACAACGACGGUGGGGAAGAAGUUGCCUUGCAGCGGCGGUUGAGAAGGGGAGCGGGGCUACGGUAGGAUGAGACGCUGGCAGCGUCGUCUCCUAGCAACGAUGGUGACUCGAGUGGGAGGCGACGGCCACGGUGGACUCUGGUCGGAAGCGGGGCAGGGUAGAUCGUUGGUCGGAGAGCAGCGACGACCGGCGAUGGGCUAGCCGCAAGCAAGGGAAGCAAGGGUGCGUGGCUUCGACUUCUCUCUCUUCUUUCUCUUAUUUCUUUCUUUCUUCCCUUUUUUUUUUUUUUGAGAUGAUGAACUACAACGAGAACGUUGAGGAUCGCUACUCUGAUACCAAUUGAUAAGACCCUAAAGUCUUAUCGUCGCUCUGAUACCAAUUGAUAAGAUCCUAAAGUCUUAUUAUGGAAGAAAGUGGAGAAAAGGAAAUGAUAAUGAUCGCUUUGAGGGGAUCGACCUCCUUGAUCGCUUUGAGGGGAUCGACCUCCUUGAUCGCUUCGAGGGGAUCGACUCUCCUUGAUCACUUCGAGGGGAUCGACCUCCUAAGGUUUGUCCAUAGAGUGGAAUAACAUUUCAUUGAUUGAUUGAUUCAAAGAAAGGGUUACAUCACUAUUUAUAGAGUUCUACCUAGAGUCCAUCGAGACUUGGACUCUUAAUAAUAAAUAAAUAUUAAAUAAAUCUCUAUUUGACUCUAACUGAACUCAAUAAACAACUCUCUAUUUGACUGUAACUGAACUCAAUAAACAACUGAACUAAACAGACUCAAUAAACAUUAUUCAAAAGCUCAGAAAAAAGGUCCUAACAAAAACGUAAGAUUCAGGUGGGAUGCUGUUUUGAUCGGUCUUUCAAUGUUUAAGCAAAAAACCUAAGAUUCAUGCGGAUUCUGUUUUGAUCAGAGCUUCAAUUGAAUAGUGAAGGGUGGGGUAGUUUUGUAUUUGCCAAUUUAUCUUCUUUAGAAGGUUGUAUCGAAACACUAUAUAAUAACAUCAGAUGUCAAAGAAAAUUUCAGCAGAUUAAAUGCAUAACCUUUUUCCCUUAGAAAAUGGUCCAAGGUUUAUGCUAAAUAUGCUGUUUAAACUAUGGAUUUUUCCCCUGUUAUUCCUAUGGCUUUCUUGAUAGAUCAUGAGCU